RNAcentral lists this ribosomal RNA (497 nucleotides) under uncultured bacterium. RNAcentral's name for it is "partial 16S ribosomal RNA". It matches the Rfam family "Bacterial small subunit ribosomal RNA", at positions 28 to 507 of the family's 1533-position model. The record is from RNAcentral.
GACGAACGCUGGCGGCGUGCCUAAUACAUGCAAGUUGAGCGAUGAAGAUUGGUGCUUGCCCCAAUUUGAAGAGCAGCGAACGGGUGAGUAACGCGUGGGGAAUCUGCCUUUGAGCGGGGGACAACAUUUGGAAACGAAUGCUAAUACCGCAUAAUAACUUUAAACAUAAGUUUUAAGUUUGAAAGAUGCAAUUGCAUCACUCAAAGAUGAUCCCGCGUUGUAUUAGCUAGUUGGUGAGGUAAAGGCUCACCAAGGCGAUGAUACAUAGCCGACCUGAGAGGGUGAUCGGCCACAUUGGGACUGAGACACGGCCCAAACUCCUACGGGAGGCAGCAGUAGGGAAUCUUCGGCAAUGGACGAAAGUCUGACCGAGCAACGCCGCGUGAGUGAAGAAGGGUUUCGGAUCGUAAAACUCUGUUGGUAGAGAAGAACGUUGGUGAGAGUGGAAAGCUCAUCAAGUGACGGUAACUACCCAGAAAGGGACGGCUAACUACGUG